Molecule: ribosomal RNA, 738 nt
Filed under: Chaetothyriales sp. TRN488
Lineage: Eukaryota; Fungi; Ascomycota; Eurotiomycetes; Chaetothyriales
Description: SSU rRNA
Rfam family: Bacterial small subunit ribosomal RNA
Source: RNAcentral
AAUAGCCUAACGGCUGAACCAGCAACUUGGAAGAAUGUAUAAUGAAUAAGUCAUAUAAAGUUCUAGAUAAGAGAAAGAUAAUGACAAAUUUUUAUCUAUAAGUCUUGGCCAAAUUACGUGCCAGCAGCCGCGGUAAUACGUAAAAGACUAGUGUUAUUCAUCUUUAUUGGGUUUAAAGGGUACCUAGACGGAAAAUAAAGCCAUAACUGGAACUAAUUUUCUAGAGUUUAAUAGGAGAAAGUUGAAUUACUGGAGAAGAGUCAAAAUAUUAUUAUACUAGUAGGACGGACAACGGCGAAGGCUACUUUCUAUCUAAAAACUGACGUUGAGGGACGAAGCCUUGGGUAGCAAUAAGGAUUUGAUACCCUAGUAGUCCUUGGAGACAAUUAUGAGUGUCAUAGGUUUAAUACUAUAUUUAGUUAAACCUAUAAAUGAAAAUGUAAGCACUCCACCUCAUGAGUAAAGCGGCAACGCCGAAAUUGAAAUCAUUAGACCGUUUCUGAAACCAGUAGUGAAGUAUGUUAUUUAAUUCGAUAAUCCGCGAAUAACCUUACCACGCCUUGUAUAAUAUUUAAUUAUUACAAGCGCUGCACGGCUGUCUUCAGUUAAUGUCGUGAGAUUAUGGUUAGUUCCUUCAAUUAACGAAAACCCUUGUUUUAUUUAUUAUUAUAAAACAGUUCACCACUAUAUUGGAGAAGAUAAUAGGGACUAAGACAAGUCAUCAUGGCCUUAAUGGCG